UACGUAGGGUGCGAGCGUUGUCCGGAUUUAUUGGGCGUAAAGAGCUCGUAGGCGGCUUGUCGCGUCGGAUGUGAAAGCCCGGGGCUUAACUCCGGGUCUGCAUUCGAUACGGGCAGGCUAGAGUGUGGUAGGGGAGAUCGGAAUUCCUGGUGGUAGCGGUGAAAUGCGCAGAUAUCAGGAGGAACACCGGUGGCGAAGGCGGAUCUCUGGGCCAUUACUGACGCUGAGGAGCGAAAGCGUGGGGAGCGAACAGG
This 254-nucleotide ribosomal RNA is filed under the name uncultured bacterium. RNAcentral describes it as "partial 16S ribosomal RNA". It matches the Rfam family "Bacterial small subunit ribosomal RNA", at positions 524 to 776 of the family's 1533-position model. The record is from RNAcentral.